GUUUUGGACCCUAGCGAGAUUGAUCAAAAUCAACAAUGGCUGAUCCCUUUGUUCAAAAAUUAAAAUUAAACCAAGAAAAAAAAAAAAAAAAAAAAAAAACACGUUAAUGAAAGCAGGACAACCUCUGAAUCCUACCAAUCUUUUGCUUGCCAUGAUGGCAGUGGUAACAUGUCAGGUAAUCGGUGUAUCAGCAGGUAAUCAUACAUAUUGGGCAUAUAUACCUAAUCCCCCAUCAGUAAGAGCAGUUCCCUGGGGGGAACCAGAAGUGCAGGUAUGUACUAAUGAGACUGCCUUCUUUCCCCUGCCAGCUUGCAGAGGAAUAGAACAACUAUCUCAUCAUAAACAACAAUAUAAUAUUAGUAAUUUGACCAUUGCAAUGGAAGGUGUUCCUUUGUGCAUAGGAGGGCACCCCUUUUGUCUGUCCACCAAGGAAUGUUCUCAUCAUUCCUAUAAUACAUGGGGGAUAAAGUACAAUAAUUAUCAUUUUGCUACUUUUAAUGUGCUUGUUUCCACCAGGGGCUUUAACACCUCGACAGAACCAACAGACAUUCAUAAUGGAAUACAUAUGUCACUAUGUCCUGUUAACUUUUUCGCUCCUUUUCUAGAAUCUUUGGAAUGGGAACGUUGCCGAGGUCAUAGACCCUCUAAAGUCAUGAAUUAUUCUGGGUCUAUCAUUGUAGAUUGGAGUCCAGAUCAUGGGCAAUUCUUAGAAAAAUGGUCAAAUAAAUCUCUUAGAUGGCAUCGUGCAAAUGGUACUUUGAUGGGCAAUGGAAAUGAAACAACUAAAUGGCAGCAAUUUGCACUUGUCCCUCCUCAAUUACAACUGCAGGGAUAUCCACACAUUCAAGGGGCUAUUUGGAAACUAUGGGCAAUUUCUGGUAAUCUUACUGUUUGGUCAGGAAACUAUACUAUGGAUAGUGAUGACUCUUCGGGUCCAUUUCAUGUUAAUUUACAUGUUAAUAGAUCUUAUUCCGCAAUGGCAUGUGUAAAAUAUCCUUUUGCAUUGUUAUAUGGGAAUUGGACUUGGAAUGAUACUAUGGGGUCUAUGUCAUGUGAUUAUUGUAAUCUAACUCAUGUGUAAAAUAUCCUUUUGCAUUGUUAUAUGGGAAUUGGACCUGGAAUGAUACUGUGGGGUCUGUGUCAUGUGAUUACUGUAAUCUAACUCAAUGUGUAAAUCAGUCUUGGUGGGAAGAAUUUGAAAGAUGAGCCUAUAACUCUAAUUUUUCGUUAGUAAUUGUUAAAGCUUGGACAGAAGUAUGGUUGCCUAUAAGUUAACUAGGCCAUGGUCAGAUUCUUUUGCUGUCUCUCAUCUAGUAACCACUGUACAGACUUUGCUACAUCAAUCUCGACGCAUGCUUGGUAUGGUCAUUGAUUGCUUCGAUUCUAGCAGUUGCGUCAGUAACUACAACAGCGGCGAUAGCAGGCCUCGCGUUACACCAAGGGAUUCAAACAGCUGAUUUUGUUCGGGACUGGCAUAAAGACUCUCAUUUGUUAUGGCAACAACAGCGAGAUUUGGAUGCACAA
Molecule: long non-coding RNA, 1524 nt
Filed under: Ovis aries (sheep)
Lineage: Eukaryota; Metazoa; Chordata; Mammalia; Artiodactyla; Bovidae
Description: lncRNA (ENSOARG00000026693.1)
Source: RNAcentral